Molecule: small nuclear RNA, 196 nt
Organism: Cornus florida
Lineage: Eukaryota; Viridiplantae; Streptophyta; Magnoliopsida; Cornales; Cornaceae
Product: U2 spliceosomal RNA
Exons: 1
Source: RefSeq, a predicted model, not a curated record
AUACCUUUCUCGGCCUUUUGGCUAAGAUCAAGUGUAGUAUCUGUUCUUAUCAGUUUAAUAUCUGAUACGUGGGCCAAUGGCCCACACGGUGUUAAAUUAAUUUUUUUAGGGGGAGGGUCCACCACAGUAGCUUGCUAUUGGGGGCCCCUUGUGUCGCCUUGGUGUUGCACUAUUGCCUUGGCCAGGCGCACCCCAC